CAUGUCCUUAAGAUUUUUAUUUUAGGUCUAAUCUGCUCAAUGAAUGUUUAAUAGCCGUGGUAUUUUGACCGCGCAAAGGUAGCAUAAUAAUUAGUUUUUUUAUUGAAAGCUGGGAUGAAUGAUUGGACAAGGGAUUUUCUGUCUCCUUGAGAUCUUUUUUGAAUUUAACUUUCAGGUUAAAAGGCUUGAAUUUAUUUUAAAGACGAGAAGACCCUAUAGAGUUUUACAUUUUUGUAUUUGAAUAUUUCUUAGAAUAAAUUUAUUUUUAUAAUUAUUUUGUUUGGUUGGGGUGAUUGGAAGAUUUAUUUAACUCUUCUAUUUAUAAAGUUACUAAUUAGUAAUUUUUACUUCUAUAAUUUUUAAGUUUAAAAUAAAUUACCUUAGGGAUAACAGCGUUAUUUUUCUUUAGAGUUCUUAUUGUUAGAGAAGUUUGCGACCUCGAUGUUGGAUUAAAAUUUAUGAUGGGUGCAGUAGCUCAUUUAUUUAAGUCUGUUCGACUUUUAAAAUUUUACAUGAUCUGAGU
RNAcentral lists this ribosomal RNA (523 nucleotides) under Microselasia elongata. Its description in RNAcentral is "partial large subunit ribosomal RNA". It matches the Rfam family "Archaeal large subunit ribosomal RNA", at positions 1918 to 2679 of the family's 2987-position model. The record is from RNAcentral. Lineage: Eukaryota; Metazoa; Arthropoda; Insecta; Coleoptera; Elateridae.